This 458-nucleotide ribosomal RNA is filed under the name uncultured bacterium. RNAcentral's name for it is "partial 16S ribosomal RNA". It matches the Rfam family "Bacterial small subunit ribosomal RNA", at positions 338 to 795 of the family's 1533-position model. The record is from RNAcentral.
CCUACGGGAGGCAGCAGUGAGGAAUAUUGGUCAAUGGGCGAGAGCCUGAACCAGCCAAGUCGCGUGAGGGAGUACUGCCCUAUGGGUUGUAAACCUCUUUUGUCGGGGAGCAAAAGCCGGACGUGUCCGGCUGUGAGAGUACCCGAAGAAAAAGCAUCGGCUAACUCCGUGCCAGCAGCCGCGGUAAUACGGAGGAUGCGAGCGUUAUCCGGAUUUAUUGGGUUUAAAGGGUGCGCAGGCGGAUUUUUAAGUCAGCGGUCAAAUCGUGGGGCUCAACCCCAUCCAGCCAUUGAAACUGGGGAUCUAGAGUGUGCGAGAGGUAUGCGGAAUGCGUGGUGUAGCGGUGAAAUGCAUAGAUAUCACGCAGAACCCCGAUUGCGAAGGCAGCAUACCGGUGCACAACUGACGCUCAGGCACGAAAGCGUGGGUAUCGAACAGGAUUAGAUACACCAGUAGUC